AUUGAACGCUGGCGGCAUGCCUUACACAUGCAAGUCGAACGGUAACAGGUUAAGCUGACGAGUGGCGAACGGGUGAGUCAUGUAUCGGAACGUGCCCAGUCGUGGGGGAUAACUGCUCGAAAGAGCAGCUAAUACCGCAUACGACCUGAGGGUGAAAGCGGGGGAUCGCAAGACCUCGCGCGAUUGGAGCGGCCGAUAUCAGAUUAGGUAGUUGGUGAGGUAAAGGCUCACCAAGCCGACGAUCUGUAGCUGGUCUGAGAGGACGACCAGCCACACUGGGACUGGAACACGGCCCAGACUCCUACGGGAGGCAGCAGUGGGGAAUUUUGGACAAUGAGCGCAAACCUGAUCCAGCCAUGCCGCGUGCGGGAAGAAGGCCUUCGGGUUGUGAACCGCUUUUGUCAGGGAAGAAAAGGUUCUGGCUAAUACCUGCGACUCAUGACGGUACCUGAAGAAUAAGCACCGGCUAACUACGUG
This 477-nucleotide ribosomal RNA is filed under the name uncultured bacterium. Its description in RNAcentral is "partial 16S ribosomal RNA". It matches the Rfam family "Bacterial small subunit ribosomal RNA", at positions 30 to 507 of the family's 1533-position model. The record is from RNAcentral.